Molecule: ribosomal RNA, 479 nt
Filed under: uncultured organism
Description: partial 16S ribosomal RNA
Rfam family: Bacterial small subunit ribosomal RNA
Source: RNAcentral
CGUACACUCCUGCGGGAGGCAGCAGUGGGGAAUAUUGCACAAUGGGCGCAAGCCUGAUGCAGCCAUGCCGCGUGUAUGAAGAAGGCCUUCGGGUUGUAAAGUACUUUCAGCGGGGAGGAAGGCGAUAAGGUUAAUAACCUUGUCGAUUGACGUUACCCGCAGAAGAAGCACCGGCUAACUCCGUGCCAGCAGCCGCGGUAAUACGGAGGGUGCAAGCGUUAAUCGGAAUUACUGGGCGUAAAGCGCACGCAGGCGGUCUGUCAAGUCGGAUGUGAAAUCCCCGGGCUCAACCUGGGAACUGCAUUCGAAACUGGCAGGCUAGAGUCUUGUAGAGGGGGGUAGAAUUCCAGGUGUAGCGGUGAAAUGCGUAGAGAUCUGGAGGAAUACCGGUGGCGAAGGCGGCCCCCUGGACAAAGACUGACGCUCAGGUGCGAAAGCGUGGGGAGCAAACAGGAUUAGAAACCCUGGUAGUCCCAUGA